GACCGCCACGGUGACUUGCAAGCAACUCACUGCACUUAGGCACUGGACUACCUGAAUUUCUAAUUCAAUGACGAAAGGCUGCUGGGUGUAGUCAAGUACUUGACUUGUCGGUGCGUGUGUUAAGAUGGGAUUGACUACUCCAGUUUAGGAGCUGUGUACAGUCGUGUUUCAAUUUAGCAAAACCUUGGCCAGGGUAGUCCUAGUGAGGAGUCACAGGACUAAUUGAGUUGAGCACAAUUCGGAUGAUAUCAUCAGGGUUGACAGUUUAACCUUGAGUCAUCCUAAACAUAGGGGUCAAAAUGGAUGAAUUAUACGGUAACCAUAUUCACGUAGGUUCUGAAUGUUGUGAUUGCGAUUAUUCGAUCUAUCCGGUCGUCGGGUACCAUUGCUAGAUGGUCACUUCGAUUAGUACAGGAAUUGGUUCCUGUGCUACCGGCUUAGGUUCGAACCUGCGGGGUCACAUACAUUAGUGGUUCCUUUCUGAUCAGAUGGCUGAUUAUGAGUCUUAUGUGUCUGAGACUCUAUGAUUGAGAAUUAGGAUUCUCUGAUCAUGAGUUCCACAUAUUU
RNAcentral lists this long non-coding RNA (567 nucleotides) under Elaeis guineensis (African oil palm). Its description in RNAcentral is "long non-coding RNA (EGUI_LNC002074)". Lineage: Eukaryota; Viridiplantae; Streptophyta; Magnoliopsida; Arecales; Arecaceae. The record is from RNAcentral.